RNAcentral lists this ribosomal RNA (396 nucleotides) under uncultured bacterium. RNAcentral describes it as "partial 16S ribosomal RNA". It matches the Rfam family "Bacterial small subunit ribosomal RNA", at positions 523 to 918 of the family's 1533-position model. The record is from RNAcentral.
AUACGUAGGGAGCGAGCGUUGUCCGGAAUUACUGGGUGUAAAGGGAGCGUAGGCGGGAUCGCAAGUCAGAUGUGAAAUACAUGGGCUUAACCCAUGGGCUGCAUUUGAAACUGUGGUUCUUGAGUGAAGUAGAGGGAAGCGGAAUUCCUGGGGUAGCGGUGAAAUGCGUAGAUAUCAGGAGGUACACCGGUGGCGAAGGCGGCUUACUGGGCUUUUACUGACGCUGAGGCUCGAAAGCGUGGGGAGCAAACAGGAGUAGAUACCCUGGUAGUCCACGCUGGAAACGAUGAUUACUAGGUGUGGGGGGACUGACCCCUUCCGUGCCGCAGUUAACACAAUAAGUAAUCCACCUGGGGAGUACGGCCGCAAGGCUAAAACUCAAAUGAAUUGACGGGG